UGUUCGAAUUUUCGAAUUGGU
Molecule: non-coding RNA, 21 nt
Filed under: Caenorhabditis elegans
Lineage: Eukaryota; Metazoa; Nematoda; Chromadorea; Rhabditida; Rhabditidae
Source: RNAcentral